This 253-nucleotide ribosomal RNA is filed under the name uncultured bacterium. Its description in RNAcentral is "partial 16S ribosomal RNA". It matches the Rfam family "Bacterial small subunit ribosomal RNA", at positions 524 to 776 of the family's 1533-position model. The record is from RNAcentral.
UACGUAGGGUGCGAGCGUUGUCCGGAAUUAUUGGGUGUAAAGGGUUCGUAGGCGGUUUGUCGCGUCGGGAGUGAAAACCCAGGGCUUAACCCUGGGCUGGCUUCCGAUACGGGCAGACUAGAGGUAUGCAGGGGAGAACGGAAUUCCUGGUGUAGCGGUGAAAUGCACAGAUAUCAGGAGGAACACCGGUGGCGAAGGCGGUUCUCUGGGCAUUACUUGACGCUGAGGAGGGAAAGUGUGGGGAGCGAACAGG